Molecule: ribosomal RNA, 250 nt
Filed under: uncultured bacterium
Lineage: Bacteria
Description: partial 16S ribosomal RNA
Rfam family: Bacterial small subunit ribosomal RNA
Source: RNAcentral
UACGUAGGUGGCAAGCGUUGUCCGGAAUUAUUGGGCGUAAAGGGCGUGUAGGUGGACUCAUAAGUCGUGUGUCUAAGUGCGAAGCUCAACUUCGUAUAGGCGCAGGAAACUGUGAGCCUUGAGUGCAGGAGAGGAAAGUGGAAUUCCCAGUGUAGCGGUGAAAUGCGUAGAUAUUGGGAGGAACACCAGUGGCGAAGGCGACUUUCUGGACUGUGUCUGACACUGAGGCGCGAAAGCUAGGGGAGCGAAC